UACAGAGGUGGCAAGCGUUGUUCGGAAUUACUGGGCGUAGAGGGCGCGUAGGCGGUCUUGUAAGUCUUGUGUGAAAUCCCUCGGCUUAACUGAGGAACUGCACAGGAUACUGCGAGACUUGAGUUCGGGAGAGGGAAGCGGAAUUCCGGGUGUAGCGGUGAAAUGCGUAGAUAUCCGGAGGAACACCGGUGGCGAAGGCGGCUUCCUGGACCGACACUGACGCUGAGGCGCGAAAGCUAGGGGAGCAAACGGG
This 253-nucleotide ribosomal RNA is filed under the name uncultured bacterium. RNAcentral describes it as "partial 16S ribosomal RNA". It matches the Rfam family "Bacterial small subunit ribosomal RNA", at positions 524 to 776 of the family's 1533-position model. The record is from RNAcentral.